Penaeus indicus is the source of this 590-nucleotide long non-coding RNA. RefSeq lists it as uncharacterized. Lineage: Eukaryota; Metazoa; Arthropoda; Malacostraca; Decapoda; Penaeidae. The record is from RefSeq and is a predicted model, not a curated record. The transcript is spliced from 3 exons.
UGGAGUUUGUGCGACCAUGCCUUGGUCUGUGUCUUUCCUAGCACCUACAAGGCAUUAUAACAUUGCCACUCAAACUACCGUUCUCGCCCGGUUGUUACCCAUACUCCUGUUACUCGAUACUACCAUUGAAUGGAGGUGCCAGGGACCUGUAUGCAGAACGGCGUGAUCUGGUCAACUGCAGAGAGGUGCAACAGCAUCCGGUACAGCACUUCUGAGACGAGGUCGUGAACACACCUGCGUGUCUGGGCCUUCUUCCGUGGAGAUGCGAUCGCGGAGGUGUGCCGCGGCAAGAUCGUGGACGACUUUCCGCACAUGGAAGGACUUCAAGUGAGCCUGGGUGACCUGACCUCACUUAGGCGACAAUAGGAAACGCUCCAGAGGGGAGUAAGUGGACGGAAAAACAGCUGGGUCCCUACGCCUUGACCAAAGCGCGGUGAAGAGCGACCUGGUCUAACCCGAAGGAGGCAGUACGAGACCGAUUCUUGAACCGCGAACACCUUCCCCUUUCGCCCUCAGGAGCUGACGUCGCCACGACAACAAUAUUUCCUCAUAACUAUGUGUCUGUUUUCUCAAUAAAGCAGCUAAACAGA